RNAcentral lists this ribosomal RNA (608 nucleotides) under Penicillium oxalicum. RNAcentral's name for it is "partial 18S ribosomal RNA". The stretch from base 236 to 389 matches the Rfam family "5.8S ribosomal RNA". Lineage: Eukaryota; Fungi; Ascomycota; Eurotiomycetes; Eurotiales; Aspergillaceae. The record is from RNAcentral.
UGGGAAGGAAAAAAAUCGUAACAAGGUUUCCGUAGGUGAACCUGCGGAAGGAUCAUUACCGAGUGAGGGCCCUCUGGGUCCAACCUCCCACCCGUGUUUAUCGUACCUUGUUGCUUCGGCGGGCCCGCCUCACGGCCGCCGGGGGGCAUCCGCCCCCGGGCCCGCGCCCGCCGAAGACACACAAACGAACUCUUGUCUGAAGAUUGCAGUCUGAGUACUUGACUAAAUCAGUUAAAACUUUCAACAACGGAUCUCUUGGUUCCGGCAUCGAUGAAGAACGCAGCGAAAUGCGAUAAGUAAUGUGAAUUGCAGAAUUCAGUGAAUCAUCGAGUCUUUGAACGCACAUUGCGCCCCCUGGUAUUCCGGGGGGCAUGCCUGUCCGAGCGUCAUUGCUGCCCUCAAGCACGGCUUGUGUGUUGGGCUCUCGCCCCCCGCUUCCGGGGGGCGGGCCCGAAAGGCAGCGGCGGCACCGCGUCCGGUCCUCGAGCGUAUGGGGCUUCGUCACCCGCUCUGUAGGCCCGGCCGGCGCCCGCCGGCGAACACCAUCAAUCUUAACCAGGUUGACCUCGGAUCAGGUAGGGAUACCCGCUGAACUUAAGCAUAUCAUA